RNAcentral lists this unclassified non-coding RNA (191 nucleotides) under uncultured fungus. Its description in RNAcentral is "sequence contains ITS1". Lineage: Eukaryota; Fungi. The record is from RNAcentral.
UUAACUAUUAUAUAGUACUCAGACGACACCAAUAUUCAGAGUUUAGGGGUCCUCUGGCAGGCACUUACCAGCUAAAGCCGGUAGCCGAAGCGGCCUACCAAAGCAACAAAGGUAUAGUAUUCAAGGGUGGGAGAUCUACCCGAUAGGGCAUGAACUCUGUAAUGAUCCUUCCGCAGGUUCACCUACGGAAA